UGUGGGUCAUCAUGAUUACCAUGCAAGUACUUCAAAUCCAUGCCAUGAGUCAAUCAUAGCUAAAAAAAAGCGAGCUCGGGCAAUGGGUGCUGCUGCUUCUGCAGCUGUGCCUGAUUACGGCGGAGGAUGUGACGACUUUGUGGUGUCAUCUGAUCACCGGAAUGAAACCACUGUGUUAGUGGCUCAGCCUCAGGAUCCUGAUCCUGGUGCUAGUACGUCCAGACGCCCAGGCCAUGUGUCGCCGCGAGAAAUGAAGAGAAGAGCUCGUGCAAUGAAAUAGUGUCACUGCUGCAGCUGCACCUGAUUCCGGCUGAGGGCGUGGUGACGAGGCGGCUGUUGAGAAUGAAGAGAAGAAGGAAGGAGCUGGUGAAGCGGACUUGGAGGUGAUUGACGUAGAGUGACAGUGAGAUAGAGUACUGAAAUAAAUAUGUUGAAUAAGAGUUGGAAUAUCUAGUUCAGUUGGUGAUAGACCUCGGGAAUUUAGUGGAGAAAAGAAGCUAGGGCAAUGAGUGUUCCUGCUACAGCUAAGCUUGAUUCCGGUGGAGUACGUGACGAACCGAAACCCUAAACCCGAAAAUUUCAACAGGGUGCAAUUCGCACUACUUCAUCUACAACGAGCUCACAGAUCGGGAAGCCGGAAACCCUAACAAAUUUCCACCAUUGGGUCAUCUAAUGUUGAAUUUCUCCCUACUGAGUGCACCAUGCCGCUAUGGUCUCCUCCAACAAACUGGAAGUUCAAAUCAAUUUAAAUUUUCAAAGAACAUGUCGCCUUUUUAUUACCUUUUUUUAUUCAAGUGCCAUUGCAAAUCAUUCUCGAGAAUUCCAUUUUUUACUGCUCAAGGGGAGGGAUAAAGUUCUUACGGGAUUAUGUGUUUACUUAAGCGUUUGGGACAUUGGUAAGGGUACGAGUCUAUGAAUGCAAGUUAUAUUGUUUGAAAGUACUUUUUUAAAAUGGCUGAAAGUGCUUCUUUCAAAAUACAGUUCAAGUGUUUUGGAGUCAUUUUAAAAACACUUAUCACUUCCAUUUGUCUUCUGUUUGAGCUGAU
This 1046-nucleotide long non-coding RNA is filed under the name Malus domestica (apple). RNAcentral's name for it is "long non-coding RNA (MDOM_LNC002310)". Lineage: Eukaryota; Viridiplantae; Streptophyta; Magnoliopsida; Rosales; Rosaceae. The record is from RNAcentral.